This 465-nucleotide ribosomal RNA is filed under the name uncultured bacterium. Its description in RNAcentral is "partial 16S ribosomal RNA". It matches the Rfam family "Bacterial small subunit ribosomal RNA", at positions 28 to 507 of the family's 1533-position model. The record is from RNAcentral.
GACGAACGCUGGCGGCGUGCUUAACACAUGCAAGUCGAACGGAAAGGCCCUGCUUGCAGGGUACUCGAGUGGCGAACGGGUGAGUAACACGUGGGUGAUCUGCCCUGCACUUCGGGAUAAGCCUGGGAAACUGGGUCUAAUACCGGAUAGGAGCCAUUUUUAGUGUGAUGGUUGGAAAGUUUUUUCGGUGUAGGAUGAGCUCGCGGCCUAUCAGCUUGUUGGUGGGGUAAUGGCCUACCAAGGCGGCGACGGGUAGCCGGCCUGAGAGGGUGGACGGCCACAUUGGGACUGAGAUACGGCCCAGACUCCUACGGGAGGCAGCAGUGGGGAAUAUUGCACAAUGGGCGCAAGCCUGAUGCAGCGACGCCGCGUGGGGGAUGACGGCCUUCGGGUUGUAAACUCCUUUCACUAGGGACGAAGCUUUUUGUGACGGUACCUAGAGAAGAAGCACCGGCUAACUACGUG